UACGUAGGGUGCAAGCGUUGUCCGGAAUUAUUGGGCGUAAAGAGCUCGUAGGCGGUCUGUCACGUCGGCUGUGAAAACCCGAGGCUCAACCUCGGGCCUGCAGUCGAUACGGGCAAACUAGAGUACUGCAGGGGAGACUGGAAUUCCUGGUGUAGCGGUGAAAUGCGCAGAUAUCAGGAGGAACACCGGUGGCGAAGGCGGGGUCUCUGGGGCAGUAACUGACG
Molecule: ribosomal RNA, 224 nt
Filed under: uncultured bacterium
Lineage: Bacteria
Description: partial 16S ribosomal RNA
Rfam family: Bacterial small subunit ribosomal RNA
Source: RNAcentral